GUGCCACUACGCCGCAGUUACUCGGUCAGCUUGUCGUUCCGAUAUGAUUUGUAUUUCUGUGUACGCCGCACGGCCACUGUACUGCACAUAACAUGACGCCGCUGUACGUGCGUUCGGACCAACAGGAAAACGCGAAAAACUGCAGCGACAAACAUAACAUAUAAUAUAUUGUACGCUAAACACUGUCGUCCGCGCGGGGCACGCGGAAAAACGGGACGUUUGCUCAUCGACGACGACGACCUCAGGUCUUAAAGACCACAGGAUUGAAUAAUGUUUGUACUUUGGAGAAGCAUUUUUAAAAAACAAAAACGAGA
Molecule: long non-coding RNA, 314 nt
Filed under: Rhopalosiphum maidis (corn leaf aphid)
Lineage: Eukaryota; Metazoa; Arthropoda; Insecta; Hemiptera; Aphididae
Description: uncharacterized LOC113559855, transcript variant X1
Source: RNAcentral